RNAcentral lists this transfer RNA (85 nucleotides) under bacterium. RNAcentral's name for it is "tRNA-Leu". It matches the Rfam family "tRNA". From Rfam's summary of the family: Transfer RNA (tRNA) molecules are approximately 80 nucleotides in length. Their secondary structure includes four short double-helical elements and three loops (D, anti-codon, and T loops). The record is from RNAcentral.
GCGGACGUGGCGGAAUUGGCAUACGCACAGGCUUGAGGAGCCUGCCCCGUAAAAGGGGGUGGAGGUUCGAGUCCUCUCUUCGGCA